CCUACGGGAGGCAGCAGUGGGGAAUAUUGCGCAAUGGGCGAAAGCCUGACGCAGCGACGCCGCGUGAGGGAUGAAGGUCUUCGGAUCGUAAACCUCUGUCAGCAGGGAAGAACGGUCACGGGGCUAAGCAGCAGUGAAUUGACGGUACCUGCAAAGGAAGCACCGGCUAACGCCGUGCCAGCAGCCGCGGUAAUACGGAGGGUGCGAGCGUUAAUCGGAAUGACUGGGCGUAAAGCGCUCGUAGGCGGUAGGUCAAGUCAAGGGUGAAAUCCCCGCGCGCAACGUGGGAACUGCCUUUGAACCUGGCAAACUGGAGUGUGUGCGAGGCUAGUGGAAUUCCAGGUGUCGUCG
RNAcentral lists this ribosomal RNA (351 nucleotides) under uncultured bacterium. Its description in RNAcentral is "partial 16S ribosomal RNA". It matches the Rfam family "Bacterial small subunit ribosomal RNA", at positions 338 to 681 of the family's 1533-position model. The record is from RNAcentral.